UACAGAGGUCCCAAGCGUUGUUCGGAUUCAUUGGGCGUAAAGGGUGCGUAGGCGGGCAGGUAAGUCCGUGGUGAAAUCUCUGAGCUUAACUCAGAAACUGCCAUGGAUACUAUUUGUCUUGAAUGUUGUGGAGGUAAGCGGAAUAUGUCAUGUAGCGGUGAAAUGCUUAGAUAUGACAUAGAACACCCAUUGCGAAGGCAGCUUACUACACAAAUAUUGACGCUGAGGCACGAAAGCGUGGGAGUCAAACAGGA
RNAcentral lists this ribosomal RNA (254 nucleotides) under uncultured bacterium. Its description in RNAcentral is "partial 16S ribosomal RNA". It matches the Rfam family "Bacterial small subunit ribosomal RNA", at positions 524 to 777 of the family's 1533-position model. The record is from RNAcentral.